AUAGACCUACGGGAGGCAGCAGUAGGGAAUCUUCCACAAUGGGCGAAAGCCUGAUGGAGCAACGCCGUGUGGGUGAAGAAGGUCUUCGGAUCGUAAAACCCUGUUGUUAGAGAAGAAAGUGCGUGAGAGUAACUGUUCACGUUUCGACGGUAUCUAACCAGAAAGCCACGGCUAACUACGUGCCAGCAGCCGCGGUAAUACGUAGGUGGCAAGCGUUAUCCGGAUUUAUUGGGCGUAAAGAGAACGCAGGCGGUCUUUUAAGUCUGACGUGAAAGCCUUCGGCUUAACCGGAGUAGUGCACUGGA
Molecule: ribosomal RNA, 305 nt
Filed under: uncultured bacterium
Lineage: Bacteria
Description: bacterial SSU rRNA
Rfam family: Bacterial small subunit ribosomal RNA
Source: RNAcentral